RNAcentral lists this ribosomal RNA (253 nucleotides) under uncultured bacterium. Its description in RNAcentral is "partial 16S ribosomal RNA". It matches the Rfam family "Bacterial small subunit ribosomal RNA", at positions 524 to 776 of the family's 1533-position model. The record is from RNAcentral.
UACGGAGGGGGCUAGCGUUGUCCGAAGUUACUGGGCGUAAAGCGCGCGUAGGCGGGUUGGUAAGUCCGCUGUGAAAGCCCGGAGCUCAACUCCGGAGGGUCGGUGGAUACUGCCAGUCUUGAAGGUGCUAGGGGGAGAUGGAAUUACCGGUGUAGCGGUGAAAUGCGUAGAUAUCAGGAGGAACACCCAGGGGGAAACCAGUCGACUGGGCAUCUACUGACGCUGAGGUGCGAGAGCGUGGGGAGCGAACCGG